GGCGUGCUAAUCUGCGAUAAGCGCCGGUAAGGUGAUAUGAACCGUUAUAACCGGCGAUACCCGAAUGGGGAAACCCAGUGUGAUUCGUCACACUAUCAUUAACUGAAUCCAUAGGUUAAUGAGGCGAACCGGGGGAACUGAAACAUCUAAGUACCCCGAGGAAAAGAAAUCAACCGAGAUUCCCCCAGUAGCGGCGAGCGAACGGGGAGGAGCCCAGAGCCUGAAUCAGCAUGUGUGUUAGUGGAAGCGUCUGGAAAGGCGCGCGAUACAGGGUGACAGCCCCGUACACAAAAGCGCAUGUGCUGUGAGCUCGAUGAGUAGGGCGGGACACGUGGUAUCCUGUCUGAAUAUGGGGGGACCAUCCUCCAAGGCUAAAUACUCCUGACUGACCGAUAGUGAACCAGUACCGUGAGGGAAAGGCGAAAAGAACCCCGGCGAGGGGAGUGAAAAAGAACCUGAAACCGUGUACGUACAAGCAGUGGGAGCACCCUUCGGGGUGUGACUGCGUACCUUUUGUAUAAUGGGUCAG
This 529-nucleotide ribosomal RNA is filed under the name Salmonella enterica subsp. enterica serovar Typhimurium. RNAcentral describes it as "partial 23S ribosomal RNA". It matches the Rfam family "Bacterial large subunit ribosomal RNA", at positions 55 to 623 of the family's 2925-position model. The record is from RNAcentral. Lineage: Bacteria; Pseudomonadati; Pseudomonadota; Gammaproteobacteria; Enterobacterales; Enterobacteriaceae.